GGGAGCCGUAUGAGGCGAGAGUUUCACGUACGGUUCUGCGAGAGGCUAGAGGCGAAAUCCCUCUUGGAU
RNAcentral lists this non-coding RNA (69 nucleotides) under Cupriavidus sp. YR651. Lineage: Bacteria; Pseudomonadati; Pseudomonadota; Betaproteobacteria; Burkholderiales; Burkholderiaceae. The record is from RNAcentral.